RNAcentral lists this unclassified non-coding RNA (158 nucleotides) under soil metagenome. RNAcentral describes it as "partial internal transcribed spacer 1". The record is from RNAcentral.
CUGAGUUCAUGCCCUUGCGGGUAGAUCUCCCACCCUUGAAUAUCUAAACCUUUGUUGCUUUGGCGGGCCGCUUCGGCUACCGGCUCCGGCUGGUGAGUGCCCGCCAGAGAACCUUAAACUCUGAAUUACAGUGUCGUCUGAGUACUAUAAAAUAGUUA